This is a long non-coding RNA of Tripterygium wilfordii, 888 nucleotides long. RefSeq lists it as uncharacterized. The transcript has 4 exons. The record is from RefSeq and is a predicted model, not a curated record. NCBI's taxonomy places the organism in Eukaryota, Viridiplantae, Streptophyta, Magnoliopsida, Celastrales, Celastraceae.
ACGGGCCCGGGCCUGAAUUCAGACCAGACAGACUCUUCUUCAGUUCUUUGGAAUAGUUCGCAACAGCUUCGUCCUCAGACAACUACUCUCUUCCAUUCACAGCCUUCAUCAACCGUUCGCUCUACCCUCUUCUGUCCCCGUCUCCGGCCUCUAGUCCCAAACAGAUGGGGUCAAAAGCAGUCCUAUGACCCUCAGAUGGUGGUUUGAAGAAGACGGGCCACAUUUCAACUCUCGAUCUCGACUUACCAUAAGCACAUUCCAACAUUGAACAGAGGGGGAAAUGCAGGGAUGGUAUCUUCCACCAGAUCCAAUUUGACCAAGAAUAAUGUGUUUUGGGGUUGGUUCUUUGUCCUUGUUGGGUUCGUUUCAUUUCUUGGAUUCCUUUUCACUGCAGUCAUAUCAAAACUUCUUCAUGCUUCGGAUAAUCCAGUAUUAUCGGCUAUUCAAAAAGACAGGUAUUACUGCUUCUUGGCUCCCUUAACAAUCCCCGUCCUUGUAGCUGCUGUAUAUUGUCACUGGCUUAGCAUGAAGCUGUUCAAGCAUGCAUGAUGUUUAUAGCAUCAAUGAAAGAGGUUACAGCAGCAUGCUUCAGUGCAAAUCUUGAUCUAUUGGUGAGAAUUUUAACUUCGAGGAGUUGACAUUUGGCAAUCAUGACUUUCCUUAGGAGUCCUUAGCAUUCAUAUAUUCCUACAAAGAAAUAAUGGGGCAUUUGGUUCAUAAUUGAAUGCGUGAGAGUGCGAAGUGUGCGUGAAAUGAGUCUGAGGUGGGAGUAACAAUGAGUAUAAGGUGAGCAUGAUCACGUUUGGUUCGGUUCGGAAAUAAAGUUUGAGUAUGGGUGUGAGAAAUUUUAAUUUGUAAUGAAGGUUAAUAGUUUUUUGCAUGUUAAAA